UAAGUUAGAAAGGGCGCACGGUGGAUGCCUUGACACUAGGAGUCGAUGAAGGACGGGACUAACGCCGAUAUGCUUCGGGGAGCUGUAAGUAAGCUUUGAUCCGAAGAUUUCCGAAUGGGGAAACCCACCAUACGUAAUGGUAUGGUAUCCUUAUCUGAAUACAUAGGGUAAGGAAGACAGACCCAGGGAACUGAAACAUCUAAGUACCUGGAGGAAGAGAAAGCAAAUGCGAUUUCCUGAGUAGCGGCGAGCGAAACGGAACAUAGCCCAAACCAAGAGGCUUGCCUCUUGGGGUUGUAGGACAUUCUAUACGGAGUUACAAAGGAACGAGGUAGACGAAGCGACCUGGAAAGGUCCGUCGUAGAGGGUAACAACCCCGUAGUCGAAACUUCGUUCUCUCUUGAAUGUAUCCUGAGUACGGCGGAACACGUGAAAUUCCGUCGGAAUCUGGGAGGACCAUCUCCCAAGGCUAAAUACUCCCUAGUGAUCGAUAGUGAACCAGUACCGUGAGGGAAAGGUGAAAAGCACCCCGGAAGGGGAGUGAAAGAGAUCCUGAAACCGUGUGCCUACAAAUAGUCAGAGCCCGUUAACGGGUGAUGGCGUGCCUUUUGUAGAAUGAACCGGCGAGUUACGAUCCCGUGCGAGGUUAAGCUGAAGAGGCGGAGCCGCAGCGAAAGCGAGUCUGAAUAGGGCGUUUAGUACGUGGUCGUAGACCCGAAACCAGGUGAUCUACCCAUGUCCAGGGUGAAGUUCAGGUAACACUGAAUGGAGGCCCGAACCCACGCACGUUGAAAAGUGCGGGGAUGAGGUGUGGGUAGCGGAGAAAUUCCAAUCGAACCUGGAGAUAGCUGGUUCUCCCCGAAAUAGCUUUAGGGCUAGCCUUAAGUGUAAGAGUCUUGGAGGUAGAGCACUGAUUGGACUAGGGGUCCUCAUCGGAUUACCGAAUUCAGUCAAACUCCGAAUGCCAAUGACUUAUCCUUAGGAGUCAGACUGCGAGUGAUAAGAUCCGUAGUCAAAAGGGAAACAGCCCAGACCGCCAGCUAAGGUCCCAAAGUGUGUAUUAAGUGGAAAAGGAUGUGGAGUUGCUUAGACAACUAGGAUGUUGGCUUAGAAGCAGCCACCAUUUAAAGAGUGCGUAAUAGCUCACUAGUCGAGUGACUCUGCGCCGAAAAUGUACCGGGGCUAAAUACACCACCGAAGCUGCGGAUUGAUACCAAUGGUAUCAGUGGUAGGGGAGCGUUCUAAGGACAGUGAAGUCAGACCGGAAGGACUGGUGGAGUGCUUAGAAGUGAGAAUGCCGGUAUGAGUAGCGAAAGACGGGUGAGAAUCCCGUCCACCGAAUGCCUAAGGUUUCCUGAGGAAGGCUCGUCCGCUCAGGGUUAGUCAGGACCUAAGCCGAGGCCGACAGGCGUAGGCGAUGGACAACAGGUUGAUAUUCCUGUACCACCUCUUUAUCGUUUGAGCAAUGGAGGGACGCAGAAGGAUAGAAGAAGCGUGCGAUUGGUUGUGCACGUCCAAGCAGUUAGGCUGAUAAGUAGGCAAAUCCGCUUAUCGUAAAGGCUGAGCUGUGAUGGGGAAGCUCCUUAUGGAGCGAAGUCUUUGAUUCCCCGCUGCCAAGAAAAGCUUCUAGUGAGAUAAAAGGUGCCUGUACCGCAAACCGACACAGGUAGGCGAGGAGAGAAUCCUAAGGUGUGCGAGAGAACUCUGGUUAAGGAACUCGGCAAAAUGACCCCGUAACUUCGGGAGAAGGGGUGCUUUCUUAACGGAAAGCCGCAGUGAAUAGGCCCAAGCGACUGUUUAGCAAAAACACAGCUCUCUGCGAAGCCGUAAGGCGAAGUAUAGGGGGUGACACCUGCCCGGUGCUGGAAGGUUAAGGAGAGGGGUUAGCGUAAGCGAAGCUCUGAACUGAAGCCCCAGUAAACGGCGGCCGUAACUAUAACGGUCCUAAGGUAGCGAAAUUCCUUGUCGGGUAAGUUCCGACCCGCACGAAAGGUGUAACGAUUUGGGCACUGUCUCAACCAGAGACUCGGUGAAAUUAUAGUACCUGUGAAGAUGCAGGUUACCCGCGACAGGACGGAAAGACCCCGUGGAGCUUUACUGUAGCCUGAUAUUGAAUUUUGGUACAGUUUGUACAGGAUAGGCGGGAGCCUUUGAAACCGGAGCGCUAGCUUCGGUGGAGGCGCUGGUGGGAUACCGCCCUGACUGUAUUGAAAUUCUAACCUACGGGUCUUAUCGACCCGGGAGACAGUGUCAGGUGGGCAGUUUGACUGGGGCGGUCGCCUCCUAAAGUGUAACGGAGGCGCCCAAAGGUUCCCUCAGAAUGGUUGGAAAUCAUUCGUAGAGUGCAAAGGCAUAAGGGAGCUUGACUGCGAGACCUACAAGUCGAGCAGGGACGAAAGUCGGGCUUAGUGAUCCGGUGGUUCCGCAUGGAAGGGCCAUCGCUCAACGGAUAAAAGCUACCCCGGGGAUGACAGGCUUAUCUCCCCCAAGAGUCCACAUCGACGGGGAGGUUUGGCACCUCGAUGUCGGCUCAUCGCAUCCUGGGGCUGUAGUCGGUCCCAAGGGUUGGGCUGUUCGCCCAUUAAAGCGGUACGCGAGCUGGGUUCAGAACGUCGUGAGACAGUUCGGUCCCUAUCCGUCGUGGGCGUAGGAAAUUUGAGAGGAGCUGUCCUUAGUACGAGAGGACCGGGAUGGACGCACCGCUGGUGUACCAGUUGUUCUGCCAAGGGCAUAGCUGGGUAGCUAUGUGCGGAAGGGAUAAGUGCUGAAAGCAUCUAAGCAUGAAGCCCCCCUCAAGAUGAGAUUUCCCAUAGCGUAAGCUAGUAAGAUCCCUGAAAGAUGAUCAGGUUGAUAGGUUCGAGGUGGAAGCAUGGUGACAUGUGGAGCUGACGAAUACUAAUAGAUCGAGGACUUAACCA
Molecule: ribosomal RNA, 2918 nt
Filed under: Bacillus thuringiensis
Lineage: Bacteria; Bacillati; Bacillota; Bacilli; Caryophanales; Bacillaceae
Description: bacterial LSU rRNA
Rfam family: Bacterial large subunit ribosomal RNA
Source: RNAcentral